GAUGAACGCUAGCGGCAGGCCUAAUACAUGCAAGUCGAGGGGUAUCCCGCUUUCGGGCGGGAGAGACCGGCGCACGGGUGCGUAACGCGUAUGCAACCUACCCAUAUCUGGGGGAUAGCCCGGAGAAAUCCGGAUUAACACCGCAUAAAAUCACAGUACGGCAUCGUACAAUGAUCAAAUAUUGAUAGGAUAUGGAUGGGCAUGCGUGUCAUUAGGUGGUUGGCGGGGUAACGGCCCACCAAGGCGACGAUGACUAGGGGAUCUGAGAGGAUGGCCCCCCACACUGGUACUGAGACACGGACCAGACUCCAACGGGAGGCAGCAGUAAGGAAUAUUGGUCAAUGGGCGGAAGCCUGAACCAGCCAUGCCGCGUGCAGGAAGACGGCCCUCUGGGUUGUAAACUGCUUUUAUUCGGGAAUAAACCUGCAUACGUGUAUGCAGCUGAACGUACCGAAGGAAUAAGGAUCGGCUAACUCCGUGCCAGCCGCCGCAGUAA
RNAcentral lists this ribosomal RNA (496 nucleotides) under uncultured bacterium. RNAcentral describes it as "partial 16S ribosomal RNA". It matches the Rfam family "Bacterial small subunit ribosomal RNA", at positions 28 to 523 of the family's 1533-position model. The record is from RNAcentral.